Long non-coding RNA from Oxyura jamaicensis (ruddy duck), 881 nucleotides. RefSeq lists it as uncharacterized. NCBI's taxonomy places the organism in Eukaryota, Metazoa, Chordata, Aves, Anseriformes, Anatidae. The transcript has 2 exons. The record is from RefSeq and is a predicted model, not a curated record.
CCAAACCGCAGAAGGCCCCAGGGCCCCGGUGCUUGUGCAACGCCUGGGAUUGUGCCGCCACCCCAGCGGGAGCACCUCUGGUCCUGAGCCUCGCACGCCCCACGCCGAACGUGCGAACUGGCACGUACCUGUGUGCAGGUACAGGGAGCAGCCGAAGCCAGCCACGAGGCAACCCACGGGUUCCUGGGAUGGGCAGCGAGAUGCUGCCUCCCGUCCCGCUUCAGAGGCCCGUGUCGUGGACCUUCAGAGGCCUUCUCUUUCAUAUAGAAGGUUUUUAAACAUGUCACUGAAAAAUCGGUGUAAUUUCGAAAUAUACUAGCCAAGAAACCUGGUCUCACAGCGUCCAGGGUGCCUGCAGAAUUAUAGAUGUCAGACCCCAGGAGCUGACAUGGUCGAGAAGCUUUACUGCAACUUUAGUCUUCUGCAGUGGGACGUUGCUGGAAGCUAACACCUCGUCCCAUUCUUUCAGCUUGCAUCUUAUAAAGGGUGUUCAUCUCUCAUAGUCUGGCAGAAAGCAGCCUGCGUGGGAUACUUGAAAUCUGAAAUGUAGUAAAAUAACAUUUGUUUGUUUAAACAGCACAGCUUACAAUGUUUUUGUAUACUGGUAACUUUGCCGUAUUUUGUAAAGUAAGUAUAUUUUCAUACACAGUAUUUAUGUUUUAAAAGUUCAUAGAGUUCUUUGUAAAGUAUUUCAAAAGUGCUCUUGAGAUUUUUUUUAUUAUUAUGCCACCUUUAAACAGGCAGUCAAGUGCUACUUUUCUAAUUGACUUAAGUUGGAAUGAAAGGUAUUGCUGCACAUAGUUGUAGCAACUAUCUAAGGCAGAACACCUUAGUAAUAGCUAUAUAUUUUAAAAUUAACUUAAUUAAAAGCCCUACUACUU